AGUAGAAUGGCUGAGUGGAUGGAGCGCAGGCCUGGGAGUUUAAAAGGACCUGGGUUCAAAUCCCAGUUCUGCCA
This 74-nucleotide transfer RNA is filed under the name Ornithorhynchus anatinus (platypus). It matches the Rfam family "tRNA". Rfam says of the family: Transfer RNA (tRNA) molecules are approximately 80 nucleotides in length. Their secondary structure includes four short double-helical elements and three loops (D, anti-codon, and T loops). The record is from Rfam by way of RNAcentral. Lineage: Eukaryota; Metazoa; Chordata; Mammalia; Monotremata; Ornithorhynchidae.